GUUUUGUGUAGUUACACAAGCGGGAGGUUUGUUUAUCGGCCCGUUAUGAUGAUUGUGCUCCCAUCUCUCACGUGGCUGGCCAAGCGUCUGAUUCCAAGGUCGUUGCACAGCUGCUUGACUUGGAGUAUUACUUGGUAGAGACGCACCGCUGUGAUCUAUUGUAAUUCAGGAAAAGUGCUGGGAAGCAGUGCAGGCUUAAAAUAGUGGCU
This 209-nucleotide long non-coding RNA is filed under the name Helianthus annuus (common sunflower). RNAcentral's name for it is "hypothetical non coding rna". Lineage: Eukaryota; Viridiplantae; Streptophyta; Magnoliopsida; Asterales; Asteraceae. The record is from RNAcentral.